CGUGAAGCUGGAAUUGCUAGUAAUCGCGGAUCAUCAUGCCGCGGUGAAUACGUUCCCGGGCCUUGUACACACCGCCCGUCACACCAUGGGAGCCGGUAAUACCCGAAGUCGGUAGUCUAACCGCAAGGAGGACGCCGCCGAAGGUAGGAUUGGCGACUGGGGCGAAGUCGUAACAAGGUAGCCGUAUCGGAAGGUGCGGCUGGAUCACCUCCUUUCUG
This 218-nucleotide ribosomal RNA is filed under the name uncultured Oscillospiraceae bacterium. Its description in RNAcentral is "partial 16S ribosomal RNA". It matches the Rfam family "Bacterial small subunit ribosomal RNA", at positions 1319 to 1533 of the family's 1533-position model. The record is from RNAcentral. Lineage: Bacteria; Bacillati; Bacillota; Clostridia; Eubacteriales; Oscillospiraceae.